RNAcentral lists this long non-coding RNA (238 nucleotides) under Sorghum bicolor (sorghum). RNAcentral's name for it is "long non-coding RNA (SBIC_LNC001002)". The record is from RNAcentral. Lineage: Eukaryota; Viridiplantae; Streptophyta; Magnoliopsida; Poales; Poaceae.
GGGCCAGGGGGUCUGCUUAUAUAGUCCCUCCAAAUGAAUAUGGACCGUCGGAUCAAACCGACCUUAAUCACACGUUUUUCCUUAAUCCCUUAGGUCGGUGGAGCAUGAUCCGCGAGGUGGAGUUUGAUUGGCUCACAGGCUAGGGUGGGCGCCCAAGGGGGGAGGGCGGGCGCCCUGCCCUUAGGCCCGUUCGGUCUCCCGCUCGUUCACGUGGCUUCUGGACUCUUCUAGAUGUUGG